Molecule: long non-coding RNA, 1802 nt
Organism: Xenopus laevis (African clawed frog)
Lineage: Eukaryota; Metazoa; Chordata; Amphibia; Anura; Pipidae
Exons: 3
Source: RefSeq, a predicted model, not a curated record
CCUUAGUCCCUCAGGAAGAAGGGGGUGAAGCUCCACCCCUUGAUCUGAGCAGGAAGGAAGUCUACAGGGGGGCAGGAGCAACAGAGAGGGAGGGUUAGGUGCAGGAGGCCUGAGCUCAGUGCAUGUGAAAGCUCACAUGGCCGUGGAAUCCGUGAAAGAGAAUCCUGAGCCGAGUUCAUCACUAAUUCACUGGGAAUCGUGUUACAGCGUCUGUGGCAUUUGAAGCGCAGCACAGCACUACAGCUGGGAGGCAUUCUAUCCUCAUAAAACUAUCUUAAGGCAACACACAAGAGUCAACCUCAGCCAACUGGAGAUCAUAGAGAGGACUAAGCUACAAGUAAAAUUUGGGUCAGUCAUAAGUCAAAAUGUGGGACAUCUUUCAACCAACAUAAGAAAGGCAACAAGAAUUGCAAGUGCCGCUCUUUAUGGAAACAUUGUUCAUCCUCAGUAAGAGGCAUUAUCUGUCAGUUCUGAAAACUGAAUUAUAUGACUAUAAAUACUCAAGUUUUUUUGGGGGGUAGAGAAUCCAUCAUGAUAGGGAGAAAAGUCUGUAUCUCAAGUUUACUCCAUGAUAUGUUUCUAUGAAAUGUUAUAAUUGGUUCCAAGUUAAUCAAUGGUGAGCUUCUAUAUUCACUUUUAUGUUUGUCUUUAGGGCUCUCCAUGCUCCCUAUAGUGAGUCAAGGUGUCGACUUAGAGACCAUUUUCUCCAACAGGUUCAUCAUCCUUUCCUGUAGCUGCAGGCUUUGCACUUGGAUGAUGUUUUGCUGAUCCAGUAUCCGGCGCACCUCCCUGCAUGUCUCUUCCAUGGCUCUGCUCAACCUCCUCUGUUCUUCCAGCAUGCUCUCCAUCACUUUUAACUUCUUCCUCUGGAAACUGAAGGUCUGCAGCUUCCUUCUCUUAGCUGCUCGCUCCCCCAAUCUGAUAAAAGAGAAUACAAUAAUUUAGGCACAGAUCAGACGUCAGGUUAUCAUAAUUGUACCUGCCCCACAUAGUCACAUGCUUUGCCCAGAGCAAUGAACAGUAUUCAGAGUAUACCAGGUGGCAGAAUAUAUUUAGUUUCAUCUUUAUACAAGUCUGGAUUUUUUUCUGUAAACAAGUCUAAUGCAUACCAGAACAUUUAGUGUUUCUUGACCCAUUCCCUGCAUCAUAUAAAGGCUUCCACCAUGACACUCUCUAUAGCAGAUGCUUGUGCCAUACAACAGCAAGUGGUAACGUUGAGUUGGAUUUGGUGGCCAACACAUGGGUCUAGUCUUCUUUGAUGGGGUGGGUGUUAAGAAAAUGUAAUUUAGAUAAUUAGCUAAAUAUUUGUGGUGAUGCACAUCCAUUUAUAUAUUACUUUGACAGUUUUUCUGCUGCUAAGUGCCGCAGUAAGAGAUCAAGAUUACGUACCUCAGUUUGUAAGACUGGAGACUGGCGGAGCUGUCUGAAUUGUCAUCCUCAAAACAGCCUUCCCUUUCUUCAUAAGUGAACUGAUUGUAGGACAAGUAGAGUGGCGUGGACUUGGCAGUUGGGGACUGUGAGGCCUCUGUGUGAGAGGUAGAAGGCCCAGGCUGAAGCUUCAUAUCUCCAUGCUCAGGCAGCUUGGAUAAGAUACGAUCAAUGGUUUUAAAAUAAGGCCAGUCUGGAGGUGCAGUCUCCCCGUCAGUCAUACAUUUUAAUUUCCUAGGCAAGAGCAAAAAAGUGUGCUAAGUGCAUAGAGAUGGGAAAGUCUGUAAUGGGAAAACAUGUACUUCUGUAAAUAAAAGUGACUUUUGUACAUGGCAACCCAAAGUCAAGACAAGUAAAGCCAUUAGUUGUGCCAA